This 253-nucleotide ribosomal RNA is filed under the name uncultured bacterium. Its description in RNAcentral is "partial 16S ribosomal RNA". It matches the Rfam family "Bacterial small subunit ribosomal RNA", at positions 524 to 776 of the family's 1533-position model. The record is from RNAcentral.
UACGAAGGGGGCUAGCGUUGCUCGGAAUCACUGGGCGUAAAGCGCACGUAGGCGGCUUUUUAAGUCAGGGGUGAAAUCCUGGAGCUCAACUCCAGAACUGCCUUUGAUACUGGGGAUCUCGAGUCCGGAAGAGGUAAGUGGAACUCCGAGUGUAGAGGUGAAAUUCGUAGAUAUUCGGAAGAACACCAGUGGCGAAGGCGGCUUACUGGUCCGGUACUGACGCUGAGGUGCGAAAGCGUGGGGAGCAAACAGG